CCUACGGGAGGCAGCAGUGAGGAAUAUUGGACAAUGGGCGCAAGCCUGAUCCAGCCAUGCCGCGUGAGUGACGAAGGCCUUCGGGUUGUAAAGCUCUUUCAGAUGCGAAGCGGUAACAUCAGAAGAAGCCCCGGCUAAAUUCGUGCCAGCAGCCGCGGUAAUACGAAUGGGGCAAGCGUUGUUCGGAAUCACUGGGCUUAAAGCGUGCGUAGGCGGAUUUGCAAGUCAGAAGUGAAAUCCCAGGGCUCAACCCUGGAAUUGCUUUUGAAACUGCAAGUCUAGAAUGUUGGAGAGGUUAGCAGAAUUCCGAGUGUAGAGGUGAAAUUCGCAGAUAUUCGGAGGAAUACCAAUGGCGUAGGCAGCUAACUGGCACUAUUGACGCUGAGGCACGAAAGCGUGGGGAGCAAACAGGAUUAGAUACCCUAGUAGUC
Molecule: ribosomal RNA, 431 nt
Filed under: uncultured bacterium
Lineage: Bacteria
Description: partial 16S ribosomal RNA
Rfam family: Bacterial small subunit ribosomal RNA
Source: RNAcentral